This 422-nucleotide ribosomal RNA is filed under the name uncultured prokaryote. Its description in RNAcentral is "bacterial SSU rRNA". It matches the Rfam family "Bacterial small subunit ribosomal RNA", at positions 338 to 774 of the family's 1533-position model. The record is from RNAcentral.
CCUACGGGAGGCAGCAAUUAGGAAUCUUGCGCAAUGGGCGAAAGCCUGACGCAGCGACGCCGCGUGACUGAUGAAGUCUUUCGGGAUGUAAAGGUCUUUUCUGGGGGAAGAAGGAUGUGACGGUACCCCAGGAAUAAGCCCCGGCUAACUACGUGCCAGCAGCCGCGGUAAUACGUAGGGGGCGAGCGUUGUCCGAAUUCACUGGGCGUAAAGCGCGCGUAGGCGGGCUUGUAAGUUGUGGGUGAAAUCCCGGGGCUCAACUCCGGAACUGCCUGCAAAACUGGAAGCCUUGAGGGAUGGAGAGGGAAGUGGAAUUCCUGGUGUAGCGGUGAAAUGCGUAGAUAUCAGGAGGAACACCCGUGGCGAAGGCGGCUUCCUGGCCAUAUCCUGACGCUGAGGUGCGAAAGCUAGGGGAGCGAACG